This is a long non-coding RNA of Oncorhynchus keta (chum salmon), 750 nucleotides long. RefSeq lists it as uncharacterized. Lineage: Eukaryota; Metazoa; Chordata; Actinopteri; Salmoniformes; Salmonidae. The transcript has 3 exons. The record is from RefSeq and is a predicted model, not a curated record.
CGACAACAGUUGAAGAAACCACAACAGAGACAAUUUCAUCUACAUCCACAAAGCCACCAAAAGAAGUCACCUCCGGCCCAACAACAACUUCCACCACUGUAAUUGUUGAAACCUCUACUUCAACAUCACAGCCCACAACAACAGGUGAAGAAACAACAGGGCCAGUUGUCAUAACUUCCAAUCCAACUACUUUAACAACAACAACAAUUGCACCCACAACAACGACACCUACCACGGGUGGAACUACAAGAAUUGAAGAAACAACAUCUGAGUCAAUUUCAUCUACAUCCACAAAACCACCUAAAGAAGUCCCCACGGGCCCAACAACCACUUCCACCACUGUAAUUGUUGAAACCUCUACUUCAACAUCACAGCCCACAACAACAGGUGAAGAAACAACAGGGCCAGUUGUCAUAACUUCCAAUCCCACUACUUUAACAACAACAACAAUUGCACCCACAACAACGAAACCUACCACAGGUGGAACGACAACAGUUGAAGAAACCACAAAUGAGACAAGUCCAUCUACAAAACCACCUAAAGAAGUCACCUCCGGCCCAACAACAACUUCCACCACUGUAAUUGCUGAAACCUCUACUUCAACAUCACAGCCCACAGCAACAGGUGAAGAAACAACAGGGCCAGUUGUCAUAACUUCCAAUCCCACUACUUUAACAACAACAACAAUUGCACCCACAACAACGAAACCUACCACAGGUGGAACGACAACAGUUGAAGAAACCACAAAUG